UGUCAUUCAGUCCAAGUCCAAAGGCCAGAGAACCAGGAGCUCUGAUAUCUGAGGGCAGGAGAAGAUGAACGUCCCAGCUCAAGAA
This is a long non-coding RNA of Balaenoptera musculus (blue whale), 85 nucleotides long. RefSeq lists it as uncharacterized. The record is from RefSeq and is a predicted model, not a curated record. The transcript is spliced from 3 exons. NCBI's taxonomy places the organism in Eukaryota, Metazoa, Chordata, Mammalia, Artiodactyla, Balaenopteridae.